This 1159-nucleotide ribosomal RNA is filed under the name Salmonella enterica subsp. enterica. RNAcentral describes it as "partial 23S ribosomal RNA". It matches the Rfam family "Bacterial large subunit ribosomal RNA", at positions 1 to 1190 of the family's 2925-position model. The record is from RNAcentral. Lineage: Bacteria; Pseudomonadati; Pseudomonadota; Gammaproteobacteria; Enterobacterales; Enterobacteriaceae.
GGGUUGUGAGGUUAAGCGACUAAGCGUACACGGUGGAUGCCCUGGCAGUCAGAGGCGAUGAAGGACGUGCUAAUCUGCGAUAAGCGCCGGUAAGGUGAUAUGAACCGUUAUAACCGGCGAUUUCCGAAUGGGGAAACCCAGUGUGAUUCGUCACACUAUCAUUAACUGAAUCCAUAGGUUAAUGAGGCGAACCGGGGGAACUGAAACAUCUAAGUACCCCGAGGAAAAGAAAUCAACCGAGAUUCCCCCAGUAGCGGCGAGCGAACGGGGAGGAGCCCAGAGCCUGAAUCAGCAUGUGUGUUAGUGGAAGCGUCUGGAAAGGCGCGCGAUACAGGGUGACAGCCCCGUACACAAAAGCGCAUGUGUUGUGAGCUCGAUGAGUAGGGCGGGACACGUGGUAUCCUGUCUGAAUAUGGGGGGACCAUCCUCCAAGGCUAAAUACUCCUGACUGACCGAUAGUGAACCAGUACCGUGAGGGAAAGGCGAAAAGAACCCCGGCGAGGGGAGUGAAAAAGAACCUGAAACCGUGUACGUACAAGCAGUGGGAGCACAGGUUUACCUGUGUGACUGCGUACCUUUUGUAUAAUGGGUCAGCGACUUAUAUUCUGUAGCAAGGUUAACCGUAUAGGGGAGCCGCAGGGAAACCGAGUCUUAAUUGGGCGUUAAGUUGCAGGGUAUAGACCCGAAACCCGGUGAUCUAGCCAUGGGCAGGUUGAAGGUUGGGUAACACUAACUGGAGGACCGAACCGACUAAUGUUGAAAAAUUAGCGGAUGACCUGUGGCUGGGGGUGAAAGGCCAAUCAAACCGGGAGAUAGCUGGUUCUCCCCGAAAGCUAUUUAGGUAGCGCCUCGUGAAUUCAUCUCCGGGGGUAGAGCACUGUUUCGGCUAGGGGGCCAUCCCGGCUUACCAACCCGAUGCAAACUGCGAAUACCGGAGAAUGUUAUCACGGGAGACACACGGCGGGUGCUAACGUCCGUCGUGAAGAGGGAAACAACCCAGACCGCCAGCUAAGGUCCCAAAGUCAUGGUUAAGUGGGAAACGAUGUGGGAAGGCCCAGACAGCCAGGAUGUUGGCUUAGAAGCAGCCAUCAUUUAAAGAAAGCGUAAUAGCUCACUGGUCGAGUCGGCCUGCGCGGAAGAUGUAACGGGGCUAAACCAU